This is a non-coding RNA of Rattus norvegicus (Norway rat), 69 nucleotides long. The record is from Rfam. Lineage: Eukaryota; Metazoa; Chordata; Mammalia; Rodentia; Muridae.
GGGGAUUUAGCUCAGUGGUAGAGCACUUGCCUAGCAAGCGCAAGGCCCUGGAUUCGAUCCCCAGCUCCG